CCUAAGCGAUACGUUGAGUGACGUGUCCACACAGAUUGUCUGAUAACUGUCACGAGCAAAGCAGCCCGUCGGCGGCUUUUUCCUGUUCACCCGGCGAGCAAGGUAAAAGUCAUUGGCGGCUGAGCGAAGUUACCACCGCUUUUGCGGUCAGGGUUACCCGCUUUGCCUUACUGAAAGCGGUGCCUUCCACGCCAAAGUAUCGCGAUGCCCGCGCUUUUCGAGUCCCCUUCGUCUAGUGGCCUAGGACACUGCCCUUUCACGGCGGUAACAGGGGUUCGAACCCCCUAGGGGACGCCACUUUGCUUGUUAUUUCAGAGCGCGUUUAUCAAGCGCGCUGCGAAAUACCGCUCUUUAACAAUCCGGAACAAGCUGAAAAUUUGAAACACAUGCUGAAGUGCAAACUCAGUAUGCGAGUCUCUCAAACGAAGUAAGCAAACCUGAGGUAACGCGCAAGCGUUAUCACUGUAGCGCGCAGACAGCUCAGGGUUGUGA
This 492-nucleotide unclassified non-coding RNA is filed under the name Sodalis glossinidius. RNAcentral describes it as "16S-23S ribosomal RNA intergenic spacer". The stretch from base 350 to 466 matches the Rfam family "Salmonella enterica Typhi npcRNA 44". The record is from RNAcentral. Lineage: Bacteria; Pseudomonadati; Pseudomonadota; Gammaproteobacteria; Enterobacterales; Bruguierivoracaceae.